GGAAGGAUCAUUAAUGAAUUGUCGACACGAGUUGUUGCUGGUCCCCAAACCGGGGGCAUGUGCACGCUCUGUUUACACAUCCACUCACACCUGUGCACCCUCUGUAGUUCUGUGGCCUGGGGGUCUCCGCCCUCUUGCUGUGGUCCUACGUCUUUACACACACACACUGUAACAAAGUCUUAUGGAAUGUAUGCCGCGUUUAACGCAAUACAAUACAACUUUCAGCAACGGAUCUCUUGGCUCUCGCAUCGAUGAAGAACGCAGCGAAAUGCGAUAAGUAAUGUGAAUUGCAGAAUUCAGUGAAUCAUCGAAUCUUUGAACGCACCUUGCGCCCUUUGGCUAUUCCGAAGGGCAUGCCUGUUUGAGUAUCAUGAACACCUCAACUCUCAUGGUUCGCCAUGACGAGCUUGGACUUUGGGGGUCUUGCUGGCCUAUGGUCGGCUCCUCUCAAACAAAUCAGCUUGCCAGUGUUUGGUGGCAUCACAGGUGUGAUAACUAUCUACGCUUGUGGUUUUCCACCAGGUAACCUUCAGUGAUGGAGGUUCGCUGGGGCUCAUAAACGUCUCUCCUCUGCGAGGACAACUUUUUGAACGUUUGAUCUCAAAUCAGGUAGGACUACCCGCUGAACUUAAGCAUAUCAAUAAGCGGAGGAAAAGAAACUAACAAGGAUUCCCCUAGUAACUGCGAGUGAAGCGGGAAGAGCUCAAAUUUAAAAUCUGGCGUGCCUCUGGUCGUCCGAGU
RNAcentral lists this small RNA (741 nucleotides) under uncultured fungus. RNAcentral describes it as "eukaryotic LSU rRNA". The stretch from base 217 to 371 matches the Rfam family "5.8S ribosomal RNA". Lineage: Eukaryota; Fungi. The record is from RNAcentral.